RNAcentral lists this long non-coding RNA (1464 nucleotides) under Homo sapiens (human). RNAcentral describes it as "HSALNT0063232". The record is from RNAcentral. Lineage: Eukaryota; Metazoa; Chordata; Mammalia; Primates; Hominidae.
UUCAGGGUUCCCUCUGGAGCUGGGGGAGGAGGAAAGAAGCAGGAUUCUCUGAAUCCUCAGCCCUGACUACUGCAGCCCAUGUGGCCACAUAGCAUGGUGGUUAGGAGCACGGACUGAGAUCAGACAAACAGUUCAUACCCUGACCACCUGGGGUCUGAGUUCUCAGCUCCAUCUGUAAAAUGAAGAUAAAAAAUAAUAGCUACCUAUUAAGAAGGAGGAGGAUUAAGUAGGAUAAUGUCCACAGAUAAAAUGCAUAGCACAGAGCUGAUACAUAUAGACACUAUGAAUGUCUUGCCUGUUAUUUUUAUUAUUUGACAUUCUUUAAUUUUGAAAAGACACACUGGACUUGAUUAAGAUCUGGCUCUUCAUUGUCUCCAGUCAAAUGUCCUGUGGCGACUCUCUGUGGUACUGACCCUUCACAUCUUGGUUUGAUAUGGCUUACUGCAAAUAAAACAAAACCAAUAUGAAUAGUGAAUAAAUCCAACAACCACAGCCAGCUUUCCACUUCCUAAAAACCUCAGUAAUGCUAAGGAUGGGGCCACACAGAGAUGCAAGGAAGAGAGGACAGUGAGGAGGGAGCUGCAUCAGGAACUACCUGUACUUUGUAACCUCAUCCCCCUCCUCCCAAUACCUGUGAGCACUUCUUCAGGUUCUGUUAGUAGAAAAUGAUGUAGCCAAAGAGGAUUGAAAAGUCCAAUUAAAUAUAUUUUACUUAAUUGUGUUAGAAUAAAAGAAAGGUUUUUUCAAAAAGCUCACGUGUUUGGUAAUUUUUUUUUCACCAUAUAAACAUGUUGAACCACUGACCUUUGUGCAGAGAGAGGGUACAGUGGAGGGAGUGUAUGGCGGUGGACUCCCAGGUGCAGGCUGUAUAAACUUUGGUCAAGUCUGAAGCUUCUACAUCUGUAAAAUGGGGAGAACAUUUUCCUCACAAGGCUGUUGAGAGGAUUGAGGCACGUGGUGUGUGGGAAGGGUCCUAGCCAGAAUAGGUUUUUAAUGAUGUUAGUGUGAUUUUUUUGAAGCCCUUUCUUCAAUUUUUUCACUUUUUUUGCCACAUCAUUGGAACUGCUUAAUUAUUCAGGAUUUUUAUAUCGAGUUUAUGGAUUAUGGAAGCCCUUUGCUAAUAGGUUUAUCUCCUGAUGACUUUUAAAACUGCAAUAUAACUGCAUAUCAGCAUGUCAAUUAUGAGAAACAGCAAACAAUUCAACAUCGAUACUGCUGAAUGCCUUGGUAAAAUGGUUUUUAUAAAAAGGAGUUUGAAAGUAUAGUUAAAAUAUAACUUCAUGUUUUUAAUGUUUAUUUGACCUAUGGACAUAGUUUGCAAGUUGAUAGUUUUUCUCACUUUUAAAGUUUUUUUUUCUGAUUAUGCACUUAUCACAAAAAUGUGAAGAUCAGAAUAAAAUCACCCAUAAUCUUAUUGCCAAGAAAUAACCACUUGUAACUUAAUUUUUUCCCUUUGAUAUGCAU